This 461-nucleotide ribosomal RNA is filed under the name uncultured Methylomirabilota bacterium. Its description in RNAcentral is "bacterial SSU rRNA". It matches the Rfam family "Bacterial small subunit ribosomal RNA", at positions 977 to 1435 of the family's 1533-position model. Lineage: Bacteria; Methylomirabilota (SeqCode). The record is from RNAcentral.
GGGCUUGACAUCCCACGAACCUGCCCGAAAGGGUUGGGUGCCCGCAAGGGAGCGUGGAGACAGGUGGUGCAUGGCUGUCGUCAGCUCGUGUCGUGAGAUGUUGGGUUAAGUCCCGCAACGAGCGCAACCCUCACCCCUUGUUGCCACCGGGUAAAGCCGAGCACUCUAGGGGAACUGCUAGCGUCAAGCUGGAGGAAGGUGGGGAUGACGUCAAGUCAUCAUGCCCCUUACGCCCUGGGCUACACACGUGCUACAAUGGCCGGUACAAAGGGAUGCAAGACCGCGAGGUGGAGCUAACCCCAAAAAACCGGUCUAAGUUCAGAUUGCAGUCUGCAACUCGACUGCAUGAAGGAGGAAUCGCUAGUAAUCGCGCAUCAGCACGGCGCGGUGAAUACGUUCCCGGGCCUUGUACACACCGCCCGUCACACCACGAAAGCCGGCUGUACUCGAAGUCGCUGAGA